This is a long non-coding RNA of Pipra filicauda (Wire-tailed manakin), 521 nucleotides long. RefSeq lists it as uncharacterized. The transcript is spliced from 3 exons. The record is from RefSeq and is a predicted model, not a curated record. Lineage: Eukaryota; Metazoa; Chordata; Aves; Passeriformes; Pipridae.
CAGGGCAACUGCUCCUUCUCACCAUCCUGACCUGUCCUUCCCAAAGAGCCUGUAUCCAGCCUUUGCAGUACUCCGGAGAUUUCAAAAUUCAGGCUCCAUCUACUGAAGAAUUCAAAGUUACAAGAGUGUAUUUUUAGAAAAUUGUGGACUUCUACUCAGCGUACCAGACUCCAUUACAGCACUGCUAAGAAAUCGCUUGGAACAAGGGUCAUCCCAAAACAAAAGCAAUUCAAGCAGCCUAUCUGAGAGGAAGAUGAGGAAGGAAGGAAGGAGGCUUACUUCAUCUUCUGCACUGCCAAUCAUUUUACAUCGUCCCAGAUUAUGCAAUAUACCAUAGCAGGGACUGUGAAGCAUGGGUUCAUCAGGAAAGGGCACAUUCAUUAGUGCUGCUGCCACGUGUGGUCUCAGAUGUCUGAGGUAGAAAGGUCACAGCCAGAGACUUCACAGCAUCACCAUCGGGCCUCAGUCCACACCCACUCCUGGUUAUCCAGGGUUAUGAGGAAAGAGGUUAAACGCUUUCA